GACGAACGCUGGCGGCGUGCUUAACACAUGCAAGUCGAACGGAAAGGCCCUGCUUUUGUGGGGUGCUCGAGUGGCGAACGGGUGAGUAACACGUGAGUAACCUGCCCUUGACUUUGGGAUAACUUCAGGAAACUGGGGCUAAUACCGGAUAGGAGCUCCUGCUGCAUGGUGGGGGUUGGAAAGUUUCGGCGGUUGGGGAUGGACUCGCGGCUGAUCAGCUUGUUGGUGGGGGAGUGGCUUACCAAGGCUUUGACGGGUAGCCGGCCUGAGAGGGUGACCGGCCACAUUGGGACUGAGAGACGGACCAGACUCCUACGGGAGGCAGCAGUGGGGAAUAUUGCACAAUGGGCGGAAGCCUGAUGCAGCAACGCCGCGUGCGGGAUGACGGCCUUCGGGUUGUAAACCGCUUUCGCCUGUGACGAAGCGUGAGUGACGGUAAUGGGUAAAGAAGCACCGGCUAACUACGUG
Molecule: ribosomal RNA, 468 nt
Filed under: uncultured bacterium
Lineage: Bacteria
Description: partial 16S ribosomal RNA
Rfam family: Bacterial small subunit ribosomal RNA
Source: RNAcentral